GAUGAACGCUGGCGGCGUGCCUAAUACAUGCAAGUCGAGCGAACAGACGAGGAGCUUGCUUCUCUGACGUUAGCGGCGGACGGGUGAGUAACACGUGGAUAACCUACCUAUAAGACUGGGAUAACUUCGGGAAACCGUAGCUAAUACCGGAUAAUAUAUUGAACCGCAUGGUUCAAUAGUGAAAGACGGUUUUGCUGUCACUUAUAGAUGGAUCCGCGCCGCAUUAGCUAGUUGGUAAGGUAACGGCUUACCAAGGCGACGAUGCGUAGCCGACCUGAGAGGGUGAUCGGCCACACUGGAACUGAGACACGGUCCAGACUCCUACGGGAGGCAGCAGUAGGGAAUCUUCCGCAAUGGGCGAAAGCCUGACGGAGCAACGCCGCGUGAGUGAUGAAGGUCUUCGGAUCGUAAAACUCUGUUAUUAGGGAAGAACAAAUGUGUAAGUAACUAUGCACGUCUUGACGGUACCUAAUCAGAAAGCCACGGCUAACUACGUG
This 497-nucleotide ribosomal RNA is filed under the name uncultured bacterium. RNAcentral describes it as "partial 16S ribosomal RNA". It matches the Rfam family "Bacterial small subunit ribosomal RNA", at positions 28 to 507 of the family's 1533-position model. The record is from RNAcentral.